AACGAACGCUAGCGGCGCGUUUUAAGCAUGCAAGUCGAACGGGGAUAUUAGGAGCAAUUCUGGUAUCCUAGUGGCAAAACGGGUGAGUAACACGUGGAUAAUCUGCCCUCAAAGACCUGGAUAGCCCGCAGAAAUGCGGAUUAAUACGGGAUGUGGUGCCUGAUCAUGAGGAUCGGGACAUUAAAGGUGGGGACCGCAAGGCCUGCCGCUUGGGGAGGAGUCCGCGGCCCAUUAGCUAGUUGGUGGGGUAAAGGCCUACCAAGGCGACGAUGGGUAGCCGGCCUGAGAGGGUGACCGGCCACAUUGGGACUGAGACACGGCCCAGACUCCUACGGGAGGCAGCAGCUAAGAAUCUUCCGCAAUGGGCGAAAGCCUGACGGAGCGACGCCGCGUGGACGAUGAAGGUCUUCGGAUUGUAAAGUCAUUUCGGGGAGGAAGAAUAAGCCGGCUCUAACAGAGACGGUGAUGACGACCCUCCCAGAAGAAGCUCCGGCUAACUACGUG
Molecule: ribosomal RNA, 504 nt
Filed under: uncultured bacterium
Lineage: Bacteria
Description: bacterial SSU rRNA
Rfam family: Bacterial small subunit ribosomal RNA
Source: RNAcentral